Molecule: transfer RNA, 64 nt
Filed under: Watersipora subtorquata
Lineage: Eukaryota; Metazoa; Bryozoa; Gymnolaemata; Cheilostomatida; Watersiporidae
Description: tRNA-Leu
Source: RNAcentral
UCAUAAACAAAAAAUUAAGAUUUAGAAUCUUUCACUGUGGGAAAUUCCCACUUUGUUUAAUGAA